Long non-coding RNA from Pyrus x bretschneideri (Chinese white pear), 1113 nucleotides. RefSeq lists it as uncharacterized. The record is from RefSeq and is a predicted model, not a curated record. Lineage: Eukaryota; Viridiplantae; Streptophyta; Magnoliopsida; Rosales; Rosaceae. The transcript is spliced from 2 exons.
UUUUUAUUUUUUCUAAUAACAUAAAUAAGUUAAAUUAUAUGUAUAUUAUGUUGUCAUUUAAUUUAUUUGUAUGGAGAUUGGGCCGGAAUCAGUUUUAUUACAAAAAGAAGGAAACUUGACUCGACUGCUGAGAAGGGGGAUACAAUUGUCCCACACCGGGGACAGCGCUGGUUAUUAGUCCUAACUGCGCAACGAAGAAUGUCCCUUCGGGACCUUCGAUAAAAUUGGAACUGAUACAGAGAAGAUUAGCAUGGCUCCUGCGCAAGGAUGACACGCAUAAAUCGAGAAAUGGUUCAAAUUUUCUCCAUGAAAUUGAAUGGAUUUUGAAGCUUUUUCCUUCUGUUUUUUUCCACCCAGUUUGGGUCAAUUGGAAUGCAGAUUGAGGAUCCUUUGGUGUUGGGAAGUAUUUCACGCUUUGGUGGCUCUGUCUCACUGUCUGACAGUCUGAGUUUUCAUAUUCCAGGGUUUUGAGGCUGCAUUUUGAGGAUUUGGGGAUGGAAAAUGGUGAUAAGAUUGCUGGUGGGUCUGAAGUGGUGGAGAACGAGAGCGUGGAAGUUGAGGUUGUUGAGGAGAGGGUUGUUGAGGGGUCUAAUGGACUCAAGGAUGACGCCGAAUAUGAGGUUUUCGAGGAGGCAAUAGAGACACAGGAAAAUUUGCAGGAUCAGGGGAGCAAAAAUAAUUUAGUGGAUGCUACUGCUGUUGGUGAAGAAAGAAAGGCUGAGAUGGUUGGUGGUUUGGAAAAAAAAAAAUUUGUUAACGGGUGACCUAUUAGCUUAACGGGUGACUUAUUAGCUUAACGGGUGACUUAUUAACAUAAUGUAAGCUGUGAUGUAAGCAAAGGAGAGAAGGUUCUGUUGGUUUUCUUCCAAGUUGUGACUUUUGUUUUGGUCCAAGGUGCCGGCUGUGUAGAGAUGCCCCUUGUUAUGAGAUUUUGUCGUGAAGUGGCCUUAAAUGAUUCUUUCUGCUAAACUAUUUUGUUGUGAUUCCACUUGACAAUUGAUCAAAUAAUUUUAUUUGAGGAGCCCCGUGUGUCAAAAUGUAUAUUAUUAUGAAGGAGAUGAGAGUUUGAAAUUAUUACAGUAAUUUAGAAAAUGGGAAUUUUCAAACCCUGAA